AGAUAUUUUUGCUAAGAGAGCGAUUCAACCUGGUGAAGAAUUAUUUUUUGACUAUAGAUAUGGACCAACGGAACAAUUAAAAUUCGUCGGUAUCGAGCGAGAAAUGGAGUUUCUUUAAUAUAUGUAUAUAUAUUAUAUGGACUUUUACACGUAUAAAUGGUGCAUCAAGCGAAUACAUACAGCUGAAAUAUUAGAAAGGAAAUAAGCACUGCCUGAUUUUGUGAUGAUACUUAACUACUGAGUUUAUUAAGAUUCGAGAGUACAUAUUCAACUCCUGCCCCUAAUCAUGACCCGAUAUAUUAACAAAAGAAAAUUUCGACUCAGUAAUAAGAUAAAAAAGAAAUGUCGGACGCAAAGGAGUGGGGCUAUGCGUGCAUCGCUACGAGAGCGCUGAAGAAGCACAUAGCAGCGAAUG
Long non-coding RNA from Harpegnathos saltator (Jerdon's jumping ant), 415 nucleotides. RefSeq lists it as uncharacterized. The transcript has 3 exons. The record is from RefSeq and is a predicted model, not a curated record. NCBI's taxonomy places the organism in Eukaryota, Metazoa, Arthropoda, Insecta, Hymenoptera, Formicidae.